UACUAGAGUAGCACUCGCAUAUCAAUAAGCGGAGGAAAAGAAACUAACAAGGAUUCCCCUAGUAACGGCGAGUGAAGCGGGAAGAGCUCAAUUUGAAAUCUUAAAGGGUUUCCCUUUACGAAUUGUAGUUUAAAGAAGUGUUUUCUGUUGAGGUUUUGGUAAAAGUUCUUUGGAAUAGGACAUCAUAGAGGGUGAGAAUCCCGUAUUUGACCUUUACUUUCAACUUUGUGAUACACUUUCAAAGAGUCGGAUUGUUUGGGAAUGCAGUCCAAAAUGGGUGGUAAAUUUCAUCUAAAGCUAAAUAUUGGCGAGAGACCGAUAGCGAACAAGUACCGUGAGGGAAAGAUGAAAAGAACUUUGAAAAGAGAGUUAAACAGUACGUGAAAUUGUCAAAAGGGAAGCGUUUGACACCAGUGUUGUUUUUCUGAAAAUCAAUUAAAGAACUGUUUAUGCUAAGUUGUUUAGACUUUAUCAGCUAUCUGUUUAGUUUUAGGCUUUUCUUUAAUGCACUUUUCAGUUAACAAGUCAACAUCAAUUUCUUUUGCUGUAAAAAAGCUUGAGGAAGGUGGCUUGAGAUUCGUCUUAAGUGUUUAUAGCCUCUUGCCUAUGCAGUCGGAGAGAUUGAGGUCUGCAGCGUAGAUCCUUCGGGGCUAAAUGCAUUUGUGCUAAGUUAUAGCAUUUUAUAGACAACUUGUUGACUAUGAUUUGUCUUGUAGCUUACUCGCUUAUGUUAUUUUACCUACGCUUAGGAUGUUGAGCGCAUGUCUCUCUCU
Molecule: ribosomal RNA, 773 nt
Filed under: uncultured Neocallimastigales
Lineage: Eukaryota; Fungi; Neocallimastigomycota; Neocallimastigomycetes; Neocallimastigales
Description: partial large subunit ribosomal RNA
Rfam family: Eukaryotic large subunit ribosomal RNA
Source: RNAcentral